RNAcentral lists this ribosomal RNA (482 nucleotides) under uncultured bacterium. RNAcentral's name for it is "partial 16S ribosomal RNA". It matches the Rfam family "Bacterial small subunit ribosomal RNA", at positions 28 to 507 of the family's 1533-position model. The record is from RNAcentral.
GAUGAACGCUGGCGGCGUGCCUAAUACAUGCAAGUCGAACGCUUCACUUCGGUGAAGAGUGGCGAACGGGUGAGUAAUACAUAAGUAACCUGGCAUCUACAGGGGGAUAACUGAUGGAAACGUCAGCUAAGACCGCAUAGGUGUAGAGAUCGCAUGAACUCUAUAUGAAAAGUGCUACGGGACUGGUAGAUGAUGGACUUAUGGCGCAUUAGCUUGUUGGUAGGGUAACGGCCUACCAAGGCGACGAUGCGUAGCCGACCUGAGAGGGUGACCGGCCACACUGGGACUGAGACACGGCCCAGACUCCUACGGGAGGCAGCAGUAGGGAAUUUUCGGCAAUGGGGGAAACCCUGACCGAGCAACGCCGCGUGAAGGAAGAAGUAAUUCGGUAUGUAAACUUCUGUCAUAGAGGAAGAACGGUGGAUAUAGGGAAUGAUAUCCAAGUGACGGUACUCUAUAAGAAAGCCACGGCUAACUACGUG